GCCUGGACCCCAUAUCCCCCGCCCCGGGACUUCCCCACCCCCUCUGCCCGCCGUGAGACACCUCCCUAGAGCACUCCCCCGCCUGCCCCGGGACCCCACCCCGACUCCCGGGGACCCCCUUUUCCGCCCAGGCCUGGGCCCUGGCCCCCUCCUCCGUGCCCCCAGCCCUGAAUCUUCAGCCCCAAACCCGAUGUGCCUGGCGUCAUCCCCGGGGAGCUCAGCUUCAAAGCCAGGCCUCACUCUCCCCUCCCCACCCACCUCUGCAUGACAAUUGCCUUUGCUUUCGUGCGUGUGUUCAGUCAAAACCGUUUCCCGACCCCAAGUGCUACCUCUGUUGGCUGCCAUUCUAAACCCAUCUAGAAAAGGAAUCUUUUGGUGUUCUUAGGGGGCUGCAGCCGUCUGUGGAUGAUGUUGGAGACCUUUCCCUUGUCCCUAAUCCCGUAUUUUGAAGGUCUGUGACACGGGUGAAUUGGGUGGUUGAUGUAAACACAGAACAAGGCCGCAGGCGGGCUGCUCCUCUGUCAGCAGAAGGAACACUCGAGUUUCUGGAGGUGAUGUCUUUGCCCCCUUGGUUCCUUGCUUGGCGAGAUUGUUAGCUGAUGUAGCCAGGGCUGAGAAACUCCACUCUGGCUUCUGAGGAGUUAACAGUCUGAGUUUGAAGCGUUUAAUUCUGUGCUAGGAUGUCUCCAUAACCUGGAAAUCGCUUGUCUGUGAAGCAGUUACAAGAGCCGGGCCCUGUGGGGAGCACCACUUAGCUUCAUUCAUUCACCGUCAGAUACUGAGCUCGGCCUGCCUGUGUGUGGGCCCAGAACCUCGCCCUUUGUCAGAAACAGGUUCAGGGAGGCUGGUUCCCAUCCCUGCUUUGCCUCUGUGACCUUGGCCUGUCGCCUGCCUGGGGUUCGAUUUUCCAUCAAAGGAGUGAAUUGCACUAGGCGAUCUCCAAGCCCAGAAAUUCUCUCAUUCUAGGAGUUAGGUAAUGCUGUUUGACUUAUGAAUAGAAGUGUCUUAGGAAAUGAGCUUCAAUUCCUUUUCAAUUAAUUCGGCUUAACACAUUCUUGACUUUAAUAGGAAAAUAAAAGAUUGUGUCAG
Molecule: long non-coding RNA, 1089 nt
Filed under: Homo sapiens (human)
Lineage: Eukaryota; Metazoa; Chordata; Mammalia; Primates; Hominidae
Description: HSALNT0384018
Source: RNAcentral